RNAcentral lists this ribosomal RNA (456 nucleotides) under uncultured Sphingobacteriales bacterium. Its description in RNAcentral is "bacterial SSU rRNA". It matches the Rfam family "Bacterial small subunit ribosomal RNA", at positions 925 to 1382 of the family's 1533-position model. The record is from RNAcentral. Lineage: Bacteria; Pseudomonadati; Bacteroidota; Sphingobacteriia; Sphingobacteriales.
ACAAGCGGAGGAGCAUGUGGUUUAAUUCGAUGAUACGCGAGGAACCUUACCUGGGCUCGAACGUAAGAUGACUGUAGGUGAAAGCUUACGUCUCUUCGGAGCAUUUUACGAGGUGCUGCAUGGUUGUCGUCAGCUCGUGCCGUGAGGUGUCGGGUUAAGUCCCAUAACGAGCGCAACCCCUACCUUUAGUUGCCAUCAGGUAAUGCUGGGGACUCUAAAGGAACUGCCUACGCAAGUAGUGAGGAAGCGGGGAUGACGUCAAAUCAGCACGGCCCUUACGUCCAGGGCUACACACGUGCUACAAUGGCCGAUACAGAGGGCAGCUACCUGGUGACAGGAUGCAAAUCUCCAAAGUCGGUCUCAGUUCGGAUCGGAGUCUGCAACCCGACUCCGUGAAGUUGGAUUCGCUAGUAAUCGCGCAUCAGCCAUGGCGCGGUGAAUACGUUCCCGGGCCUU